This 821-nucleotide ribosomal RNA is filed under the name uncultured marine bacterium. RNAcentral's name for it is "bacterial SSU rRNA". It matches the Rfam family "Bacterial small subunit ribosomal RNA", at positions 28 to 896 of the family's 1533-position model. The record is from RNAcentral.
AACGAACGCUGGCGGCAGGCCUAACACAUGCAAGUCGAGCGCACUCUUCGGAGUGAGCGGCGGACGGGUUAGUAACGCGUGGGAACAUACCCUUUUCUACGGAAUAGCCUCGGGAAACUGAGAGUAAUACCGUAUACGCCCUUUUGGGGAAAGAUUUAUCGGUGAAGGAUUGGCCCGCGUUUGAUUAGAUAGUUGGUGGGGUAAUGGCCUACCAAGUCUACGAUCAAUAGCUGGUUUGAGAGGAUGAUCAGCAACACUGGGACUGAGACACGGCCCAGACUCCUACGGGAGGCAGCAGUGGGGAAUCUUAGACAAUGGGCGCAAGCCUGAUCUAGCCAUGCCGCGUGAGUGACGAAGGCCUUAGGGUCGUAAAGCUCUUUCGCCAGGGAUGAUAAUGACAGUACCUGGUAAAGAAACCCCGGCUAACUCCGUGCCAGCAGCCGCGGUAAUACGGAGGGGGUUAGCGUUGUUCGGAAUUACUGGGCGUAAAGCGUACGUAGGCGGAUUGGAAAGUAUGGGGUGAAAUCCCAGGGCUCAACCCUGGAACUGCCCUGUAAACUAUCAGUCUAGAGUUCGAGAGAGGUGAGUGGAAUUCCAAGUGUAGAGGUGAAAUUCGUAGAUAUUUGGAGGAACACCAGUGGCGAAGGCGGCUCACUGGCUCGAUACUGACGCUGAGGUACGAAAGUGUGGGGAGCAAACAGGAUUAGAUACCCUGGUAGUCCACACCGUAAACGAUGAAUGCCAGACGUCGGGGGGCUUGCCCUUCGGUGUCACACCUAACGGAUUAAGCAUUCCGCCUGGGGAGUACGGUCGCAAGAUUA